This 526-nucleotide ribosomal RNA is filed under the name Escherichia coli. RNAcentral describes it as "partial 23S ribosomal RNA". It matches the Rfam family "Bacterial large subunit ribosomal RNA", at positions 711 to 1235 of the family's 2925-position model. Lineage: Bacteria; Pseudomonadati; Pseudomonadota; Gammaproteobacteria; Enterobacterales; Enterobacteriaceae. The record is from RNAcentral.
AGACCCGAAACCCGGUGAUCUAGCCAUGGGCAGGUUGAAGGUUGGGUAACACUAACUGGAGGACCGAACCGACUAAUGUUGAAAAAUUAGCGGAUGACUUGUGGCUGGGGGUGAAAGGCCAAUCAAACCGGGAGAUAGCUGGUUCUCCCCGAAAGCUAUUUAGGUAGCGCCUCGUGAAUUCAUCUCCGGGGGUAGAGCACUGUUUCGGCAAGGGGGUCAUCCCGACUUACCAACCCGAUGCAAACUGCGAAUACCGGAGAAUGUUAUCACGGGAGACACACGGCGGGUGCUAACGUCCGUCGUGAAGAGGGAAACAACCCAGACCGCCAGCUAAGGUCCCAAAGUCAUGGUUAAGUGGGAAACGAUGUGGGAAGGCCCAGACAGCCAGGAUGUUGGCUUAGAAGCAGCCAUCAUUUAAAGAAAGCGUAAUAGCUCACUGGUCGAGUCGGCCUGCGCGGAAGAUGUAACGGGGCUAAACCAUGCACCGAAGCUGCGGCAGCGACACUGUGUGUUGUUGGGUAGGGGA